RNAcentral lists this long non-coding RNA (2965 nucleotides) under Homo sapiens (human). RNAcentral describes it as "HSALNT0169919". Lineage: Eukaryota; Metazoa; Chordata; Mammalia; Primates; Hominidae. The record is from RNAcentral.
CCAGUCAGUUCUUCCUUUUUAUUUCUGGCUAGUCAUUCGUUGUCAAGGUAGCAUGGUAACCAACGCCUGUAGCCUGGAUGCCCAGAGGCCCUCGAUCUGUCCUGAGGAUUUUGGAACACAGGCCAGCUGGGCAUUUUUGUGCAUGCAAGACCUGCCUUGGCAAUGAUCUUAAGAUGUCACUGUAGCGUUUACAUCUUUUAUUUCAAGAUUUAAAUAACUAGGAAGUAGCUAAUGUAAUUCACUGCUGAGAAGAAAGGCGAGCUCCUAGAUUCCUUUCCAAAGCGAUCUCCUCCUAAUGAACUUCUCUGGACUGGGGAAGAGAGAAGCCCCUCCCAUUCGCUUCUACUGGGGCUUGUUAGGCCAUCGCCUUGGGGGCCGGCUGAUCAGCGGCAGCCAGCAGCCGGCGGCUUCGGCAGGCAGGAACAAGGACAGCCUGUGGCUACUGCAGCCCCACUGCCCGGCCAUGCUUCAUGAUGGGGGAGAGUGCCUUGGGAGGAAUAUACAGGCAAAUCAUGUUAGCAUCACAGAGCCCACUUAAUUCCGUAUGGGUUGGUAUUUGGGGAAGAAAUCGAGGACGAAUUGGUGUUGGACCCAAAGCUGGGCAGGGACCAGUGUGCAUGGCAAGGUUUUAAUGCCAGUAAGUUUUUCAGGGUGAUUUUUUUUCUGUCCCUGAGUCAGUGGAAUAGAAUGGAAAUGCCAUGUCUAGCUACUUUAGGGAGCACAGUGUGAAGAAGACAGCCUCCUCUAAGCUAGCACUGUUUGUGUAAUAUGUGGUCCUUAGACAUUAAAAUGAAGCCCUUUGUCACCAACUGUAGAGCCCCCCAAAACACCCUCAUUUGGUGUUUUUGUUCCAUUUUAAACCAUGAAUGGCAUCCGCUCCCUCCAGUACUGAUGUGAGGUUUUUCUGUGUUGGAUCAAAACCAAAUGCUGUUUUAUGUCAACGUAAGGAAGGAAACUAGCAAAUGCAUGAGGUCAAUCUCCAUGGCACACUUCCACCCCAGGGGCUGUACGAGAGGAAAAAAAUGUGCUUCAUGUCCCAACCAAAAGCAUUCUCUGUCUGAGGACUGUUGCCCAAGUGUGAAGUAGGAGACUCGUGCAAUUCAAAGGCACCUAUGUGAUGCCCAUGUGGAGCCCUUUUCUUAGCCAGGCACGACAGGUAUGGAGCCGGCUCUGGGAAGUGGGAUCUAGAAUGACAACCCUUGGCACAGGGCUAAGGAGCUUUAGGAGUGAUGAAAUCUCAUUGUACCACUGCAAACAGAAGCUGCAUCCCUGCCUGGGAAGGAUUAGGUCGCCUCCUAGGCAGGAGCAAACAUUUGGUGGAAAGGACUAGGAGGUUGGCUGCUUGCUCUUCUCUUUCAGCAGUGACAUCUCCACCCUGCCUGUCCCACCUCUCCAGAAAGGACUCCCAGAGGCCUAUGGACUGGAGCUAUUAACAUCCUGCAGAUGGGAGCCACUCUCUCACUGUGAUCACCAAGGAAUUUUCAUCGACUGUGGAGCAGCCUGCUGGGACCCUGCCAGCUGAUCUUAACAAGCCCACUUACUGCAGGAUUCCCACUGCUUUCCUGGGCUAGGAAUUCCUUAACCAAAGGCCCCUGGCUGAGAGAAAACCCCGAAGCAGUUAAGAUACCAGGAAAGGAAGACUUGAAAAUUGGGAAAGCAUGAUGCAAAGCUUUUGGAGGGGCCACCGGGUAACAACAGGAGAGCACCAGAACUCACGGAGAGAGCAGAGGUUGAGGAAGCCUGGCGCCCCAGCGACAAAGCAGUGUCCCCGACAAAAGAAAGAUUCAAUCUUGGAAACAGAAACAUGAAGUGAAUGUUUAAUACCAUGGUCCAAGAAGAUGGCAUUUUCUGUGACUGGAACAAUGCAGAAUUAAUGUGUAUCUGCAAGAAAUAUCAUUAAGAUUAAGUAUUCUUCAGAGAGAUUGGAGAAUCGGGGAAUUCAAGUGCGUUUGUUGGCUUGAGCCAGCCCUCCGCUACCUGACCCAUCUGCAGGCAGAAAGGGCAUCCACCAAGGGAGUCUUUCUCAGUAGAGGAGGCAGUGUGCUGUUAUAUGCUGAUGCAGCUCCUUGUCUUGGACUCAUAACUGACAGAACAGCAUGUGGACCUCACCGCUCCUUGGACUUCGAGUGGCGCUACUCUAACGCUGAGUCCUGACCUGGAUCCCUGUUUGCUUGCCUAGACCUAAGGCGGUGGUGCAGACCUUCCCCCACCCCACAUACCAUCGCCUUCUGGAAUGUGGCUUUGUGGAACUGAGGCUGAGACAAUCACAGUGCCCCAUUCUUCUGGUCAUGUGACAGGUCUGGACCUGGUCAUGUGGCAAAGUCGAAUCUAAGUCACAUCAAAGCAGGGAGAGUUAAAGCAAAUCUUUUCUCUCUUGUUGUGGAGCUGGAAUAUGAGCCCAGAAGCUUCCAGAACACAUGGUCCUGCCCUCAUAAAGAAGCUCAAGUGAGGGAACAAAAUCGACUUAGGUAGCAGCGAGCAUGGAUGGGGCCUGGCUACAUCAAGUUCUCAGAUCCUGUUGUCCCCACCCACCCCCUGUAACUUGCCAAUUUUAUCCAUCAAGCAUCCUCUCCUCUCUCCCAACUUGUCUGAGUUCUGUUUCUGUCAUUGUCACCAAGAGAGCUUUGAUGAGUAAGAAAUCCCAACAUUCCACGGGAGUCUUGGUGGUUUAAAUUUUUAAGUGAGUCCUCACUUGUUAAAGUCUUAUUCCUGUUAGAGGGCACUUCCAUAGUCCAGAAGGUGGGGAAUUCCUAUAGGUGACCUGUGGUCUCUCUAAGCAAUUUGACCAGGACUAUUUAAUAAAAUAUUUUAAAAAUGGUUCCUUUUAAUUAUUCAUUUUCAAAUGUAUAUUUGUUCUUGGCAAACAAGAGAUGAUUUGCGUUAAUCAGUGAUCUUUAAGCAAAUUCCUUGCAAUACUUUAUCUCCAUAUAAACUCGAAGCUUCUUAAAUGAAAUAGUACCUGUGU